This 433-nucleotide ribosomal RNA is filed under the name uncultured bacterium. RNAcentral's name for it is "partial 16S ribosomal RNA". It matches the Rfam family "Bacterial small subunit ribosomal RNA", at positions 29 to 507 of the family's 1533-position model. The record is from RNAcentral.
AACGAACGCUGGCGGCAUGCCUAACACAUGCAAGUCGAACGAGACCUUCGGGUCUAGUGGCGCAUGGGUGCGUAACGCGUGGGAACCUGCCCUUAGGUUCGGAAUAACUCCCCGAAAGGGGUGCUAAUACCGGAUAAUGUCUUCGGACCAAAGAUUUAUCGCCUUUGGAUGGGCCCGCGUUGGAUUAGCUAGAUGGUAGGGUAAAAGCCUACCAAGGCGACGAUCCAUAGCUGGUCUGAGAGGAUGAUCAGCCACACUGGGACUGAGACACGGCCCAGACUCCUACGGGAGGCAGCAGUGGGGAAUAUUGGACAAUGGGCGAAAGCCUGAUCCAGCAAUGCCGCGUGAGUGAUGAAGGCCUUAGGGUUGUAAAGCUCUUUUACCCGGGAUGAUAAUGACAGUACCGGGAGAAUAAGCUCCGGCUAACUCCGUG